RNAcentral lists this unclassified non-coding RNA (418 nucleotides) under uncultured Inocybe. RNAcentral describes it as "sequence contains ITS2". The stretch from base 1 to 154 matches the Rfam family "5.8S ribosomal RNA". The record is from RNAcentral. Lineage: Eukaryota; Fungi; Basidiomycota; Agaricomycetes; Agaricales; Cortinariaceae.
AACUUUUGGCAACGGAUCACUUGGCUCUCGCAUCGAUGAAGAACGCAGCGAAAUGCGCUAAGUAAUGUGAAUUGCAGAAUUCAGUGAAUCAUCGAAUCUUUGAACGCAUCUUGCGCUCCUUGGUAUUCCGAGGAGCGUGCCUGUUUGAGUGUCAUUCAACUUCUCAACCACAUUCGUUCAUUGAUUGUGGCUUGGAUGGUGGGGGUUUAUUUGCAGGCUUCUGCUGUGAAAACAGAAAGGUCGGCUCCCCUGAAAUGUAUCAGUGGUAUCUGAGGCUAUUGCUAUAGGUGUGAUAAUUAUCUAUGCCCUUGGUAUGCCGCAUGGAACUGCUUCCAACAGAGAUGAUCUUUUUGAUGAAUUUGACCUCAAAUCAGGUAGGACUACCCGCUGAACUUAAGCAUAUCAAUAAGCGGAGGCU